GUCCACGCCGUAAAACGGUGGAUGCUGGAUGUGGGGCCCGUUCCACGGGUUCCGUGUCGGAGCUAACGCGUUAAGCAUCCCGCCUGGGGAGUACGGCCGCAAGGCUAAAACUCAAAGAAAUUGACGGGGCCGGCACAAGCGGCGGAGCAUGCGGAUUAAUUCGAUGCAACGCGAAGAACCUUACCUGGGCUUGACAUGUUCCCGACGGUCGUAGAGAUACGGCUUCCCUUCGGGGCGGGUUCACAGGUGGUGCAUGGUCGUCGU
RNAcentral lists this ribosomal RNA (264 nucleotides) under uncultured bacterium. Its description in RNAcentral is "partial 16S ribosomal RNA". It matches the Rfam family "Bacterial small subunit ribosomal RNA", at positions 793 to 1055 of the family's 1533-position model. The record is from RNAcentral.